RNAcentral lists this ribosomal RNA (301 nucleotides) under uncultured bacterium. Its description in RNAcentral is "partial 16S ribosomal RNA". It matches the Rfam family "Bacterial small subunit ribosomal RNA", at positions 509 to 808 of the family's 1533-position model. The record is from RNAcentral.
CAGUAGCCACGGGAAUACGUAGGUGGCAAGCGUUGCCCGGAAUUAUUGGGCGUAAAGCGCGCGCAGGCGGAUCAGUUAGUCUGUCUUAAAAGUUCGGGGCUUAACCCCGUGAUGGGAUGGAAACUGCUGAUCUAGAGUAUCGGAGAGGAAAGUGGAAUUCCUAGUGUAGCGAUGAAAUGCGUAGAUAUUAGGAAGAACACCAGUGGCGAAGGCGACUUUCUGGACGAAAACUGACGCUGAGGCGCGAAAGCCAGGGGAGCGAACGGGAUUAGAUACCCCGGUAGUCCCUGUCUCUUAUACC